GACGAGGGGUCCUAGCGUUGUUCGGAAUCACUGGGCGUAAAGCGUAUGUAGGCGGCUUUCUAAGUCGGUUGUGAAAUCCCAUGGCUUAACCAUGGAAUUGCAUUCGAAACUGGAGAGCUUGAGUGUGGGAGAGAUUGGUAGAAUACCUGGUGUAGUGGUGAAAUACGUAGAUAUCAGGUGGAAUACCGGUGGCGAAGGCAGCUCGCUGGGACGUUACUGACGCUGAGACGCGAAAGCGUGGGGAGCAAACAGG
This 253-nucleotide ribosomal RNA is filed under the name uncultured bacterium. Its description in RNAcentral is "partial 16S ribosomal RNA". It matches the Rfam family "Bacterial small subunit ribosomal RNA", at positions 524 to 776 of the family's 1533-position model. The record is from RNAcentral.